RNAcentral lists this ribosomal RNA (189 nucleotides) under uncultured bacterium. RNAcentral describes it as "partial 16S ribosomal RNA". It matches the Rfam family "Bacterial small subunit ribosomal RNA", at positions 338 to 524 of the family's 1533-position model. The record is from RNAcentral.
CCUACGGGAGGCAGCAGUAAGGAAUAUUGGACAAUGGUCGCAAGACUGAUCCAGCCAUGCCGCGUGCAGGAAGACGGCCCUACGGGUUGUAAACUGCUUUUGCACCAGAGAAAACCCUUCUACGUGUAGGAGGCUGAUAGUAUGGUGAGAAUAAGCAUCGGCUAACUUCGUGCCAGCAGCCGCGGUAAU